CCUACGGGAGGCAGCAGUGGGGAAUAUUGGACAAUGGGGGAAACCCUGAUCCAGCGACGCCGCGUGAGUGAAGAAGUAUUUCGGUACGUAAAGCUCUAUCAGCAGGAAAGAAAAUGACGGUACCUGACUAAGAAGCCCCGGCGAACUACGUGCCAACAGCCGCGGGAAUACGGAGGGGGCAAGCGUUAUCCGGAUUUACGGGGGGUAAAGGGAGCGUAGAUGGCUGCGCAAGUCUGGAGUGAAAUGCCGGGGCCCAACCCCGGAACUGCUCUGGAAACUGGGAGGCUGGAGUGCGGGAGAGGUAAGCGGAAUGCCUGGUGUAGCGGUGAAAUGCAUAGAUAUCAGGAGGAACACCGGCGGCGAAGGCAGCUUACUGGCCUGUAACUGACGUUGAGGCACGAAGGCGUGGGGAGCGAACAGGAUUAGAUACCCUUGUAGUC
This 440-nucleotide ribosomal RNA is filed under the name uncultured bacterium. RNAcentral describes it as "partial 16S ribosomal RNA". It matches the Rfam family "Bacterial small subunit ribosomal RNA", at positions 338 to 795 of the family's 1533-position model. The record is from RNAcentral.